UGAGGACAUACCACAUAUAAGAGGUCAUUAUAGACGAAGAAGUUUGGAAAAACUCAUCAUAGAAGGUAAUAAUCCUGUAGUCAAAAUAAUAAUUCUUUAGGUAUGAUCCAGAGUACCACGGGACACGUGAAACCCUGUGGGAAGCAGGAGGGACCACCCUCCAAGGCUAAAUACUACCUAGUGACCGAUAGCGUAUAGUACCGUGAGGGAAAGGUGAAAAGAACCCCGGGAGGGGAGUGAAAUAGAACCUGAAACCCUGCACUUACAAGCUGUGGAAGCACAUUUCUUGUGUGACCGCGUACUUUUUGUAGAACGGGCCAACGAGUUACGUUAAGUAGCAAGGUUAAGCACUUAAGGUGCGGAGCCGUAGCGAAAGCGAGUUUUAACUGAGCGUUCAGUUACUUGACGUAGACCCGAAACCGGGCGACCUACCCAUGAGCAGGAUGAAGCGAAAGUAAAAUUUCGUGGAGGUCCGAACCCACGAGCGUUGAAAAGCUCGGGGAUGACUUGUGGGUAGCGGUGAAAUUCCAAUCGAGCCCGGAGAUAGCUGGUUCUCCCCGAAAUAGCUUUAGGGCUAGCCUCAAGGUGAGAGAUACGGAGGUAGAGCACUGAAUGUCCUAGGGGGUAUUGCACCUACCGAAGACUAUCAAACUCCGAAUGCCGUCAUCUUAUACUUGGGAGUCAGACUGUGGGUGAUAAGAUUCAUAGUCGAAAGGGCAACAGCCCAGAUCGUCAGCUAAGGUCCCUAAAUGUAAGUUAAGUGGUAAAGGAUGUGGGAUUGCACAGACAACCAGGAUGUUGGCUUAGAAGCAGCCACUCAUUCAAAGAGUGCGUAAUAGCUCACUGGUCGAGUGAUCCUGCGCCGAAGAUUUCCGGGGCUAAAACUUACUACCGAAGCUACGGCAUCAGUAAUGAUGGGUAGGGGAGCUUCCCAUACGGGUUGAAGCAUGACCGUAAGGACAUGUGGACAGUAUGGGAGUGAGAAUGUUGGCAUGAGUAGCGAGAUGUGGGUGAGAAUCCCACAGGCCGUAAACCCAAGGUUUCCAGGGGAAGGUUCGUCCGCCCUGGGUUAGUCGGGACCUAAGCUGAGGCCGAAAGGCGUAGGUGAUGGACAACAGGUUGAUAUUCCUGUAC
Molecule: ribosomal RNA, 1134 nt
Filed under: Clostridioides difficile
Lineage: Bacteria; Bacillati; Bacillota; Clostridia; Peptostreptococcales; Peptostreptococcaceae
Description: partial 23S ribosomal RNA
Rfam family: Bacterial large subunit ribosomal RNA
Source: RNAcentral